RNAcentral lists this ribosomal RNA (254 nucleotides) under uncultured bacterium. RNAcentral's name for it is "partial 16S ribosomal RNA". It matches the Rfam family "Bacterial small subunit ribosomal RNA", at positions 524 to 776 of the family's 1533-position model. The record is from RNAcentral.
UACGGAGGGUGCGAGCGUUGUUCGGAAUUAUUGGGCGUAAAGCGCACGUAGGCGGCUCUUUAAGUCUCACUGUGAAAGCCUGCGGCUCAACCGCAGGAGGCCAGGGGAUACUGGAGAGCUGGAGAUAGGUAGAGGCGAGCGGAAUUCCGGGUGUAGCGGUGGAAUGCGUAGAGAUCCGGAAGAACACCAGAGGCGAAGGCGGCUCGCUGGACCUCAUCUGACGCUGAGGUGCGAAAGCGUGGGGAGCGAACAGG